Molecule: ribosomal RNA, 252 nt
Filed under: uncultured bacterium
Lineage: Bacteria
Description: partial 16S ribosomal RNA
Rfam family: Bacterial small subunit ribosomal RNA
Source: RNAcentral
UACGGAGGAUGCGAGCGUUAUCCGGAUUUAUUGGGUUUAAAGGGUGCGCAGGCGGCACGACAAGCCGGCGGUCAAAUCGCGGGGCUCAACCCCGCCCAGCCGUCGGAACUGCCGGGCUAGAGUGGGCGAGAAGUGCGCGGAAUGCGUGGUGUAGCGGUGAAAUGCAUAGAUAUCACGCAGAACUCCGAUUGCGAAGGCAGCGCACCGGCGCCCUACUGACGCUCAGGCACGAAAGCGUGGGUAUCGAACAGG